Macaca fascicularis (crab-eating macaque) is the source of this 1687-nucleotide long non-coding RNA. The record is from Ensembl. Lineage: Eukaryota; Metazoa; Chordata; Mammalia; Primates; Cercopithecidae.
CCUGGAGCCCGUGAAUCCAAGCCUGUGCUCUCGCUCCCGCCCGUGGAUUGCGUGAAAAUCAAUAGAGCACCACCCAGCUCGUGUUGGAAGGGACGCUCAGACAUCUCCGCCCACGGCAUUUUCCCUCUAGGAGGAAAAUACCCGACCUAGGCGCACCCAAAACGUUCCCUACAGUUGCAGGGGGGUUCUGGUUUCCCAAACCGCGGGACUCACGAAUCUCAAGAACAGCUGGCAGAAAGGACUGUCUGCUUGGGGGAAGGGGAGAGACCAACGCGGAGAGCCGUGGAGCUGCUUGUGGCCCCAGCCUUGGGUCACCCAGGACGCCCUUUCCGGAGCCGAGUUAAGGUCGCGGACCCUGAGUCUCUCUUUGUCGCCCAGGCUGGAGUGCAGUGGCGUGAUCUCGGCUCACUGCAACCUUCGCCUCCUGGGUUCAAGUGAUUCACCUGCCUCAGCCACCUGAGUAGCUGGGACUACAGGCGCCUGCCACCACGCCCGGCUAAUUUUUGUAAUUUUAGUGGAAACGGGGUUUCGUCAUGUUAUCCAGGCUGGUCUGGAUCUCCUGACCUCAGGUGAUCCGCCCACCUCGGCCUCCCAAAGUGCUGGGAUAACAGGCAAGAACCACCGCGGCCGGCCUAAAGCUCAGGAGUUUUAUUGUGUUUUCUUUCCCAAGCUGUAUGAAAAGUCCAACAGCACUGUUCUGUCGUUCUUUGCCUUCUUAUAUGUGACCUUUUCCCCUCUGGGGGCUUAUAAAUAUUCAUCUUGUCUUAUAAAUCCUCAGUGAAGGCAAUGAGUAUUUUUAUUUCCGUUUUACCAUUAGGGAUACUGGUUGGGGGAAGAUGAAUGACUUGCCCAAGGUCAUAUAGUAAAUCAGGACACAGACAAGAUCAAGCUUGCCCUGUCAAAGUGCUUCCCUGACAGGCAGCAGUGAUCCUCCUUUAUUUAUGUGCAAAGUACUCUCCAAUUAGGAAAUUAAGCAUCCUGGUGCUCUCUUUGGAAGGGAAGCCUUUUAUAAAUUCAUCACUUGUUAAUCAGUCAUAAAUAAAACCUACUCACUUUUGACCUCUAGAGGAAACCUGCUAUCUGGAGAUUUCACUAAUCCGAGCUAUGGAGACUUUUUUUCCCCCAGGUUUCCCUUCUAUUUCUCUUGUACAUUUCUAUACUUACUCGAGUCCUCUUUGGGUGAACCAUUGACGCACUGUAUCUUUCCAUUGCUUGCCUUAGCAUAUUGAACCUCUUAAUAGAUUUCAGGCUACUAUGCUAAAAUGUGUCUAUCUCUGUGGAGACUAAAGGCUAAAGUUCAAAGUGACACUGGCAAGAAUGAUUGGCUAAUUUUAAGAUUUAGAACUGUAGCCUUUUAGAGCUAGAGGCCACUGGAGAUCAUACCCAGCAUCUAGAUCUGCAUGGAGGAAGCCAAGGCCCAGAGAGGUCAAGUUCCUUACCUAAAGUUACACAGCUAGUUUGUGACACAACUGGGACAAGAACCCAGAUCUGCUUCCUCACAUUGCUCUUUGCAAUGUACUGCAUUACCUCAUUUUUGCUGCAAGCCCUUGGCCACUGUCAAAAUCAUUCAUUUACUCAUCAAAUGUUUAUUAAGUAGGCACUUCAGUGCCAGGCACUGAAGCAAAAAAAGAAGAGUUUUCCUUCAUUAAUUGGAACAGGAGACUUCAGCAUUUUAAAUAUGUAGAGA